GGGUGACGAGCGGCGGACGGGUGAGUAAUGUCUGGGAAACUGCCUGAUGGAGGGGGAUAACUACUGGAAACGGUAGCUAAUACCGCAUAACGUCGCAAGACCAAAGAGGGGGACCUUCGGGCCUCUUGCCAUCAGAUGUGCCCAGAUGGGAUUAGCUAGUAGGUGGGGUAAUGGCUCACCUAGGCGACGAUCCCUAGCUGGUCUGAGAGGAUGACCAGCCACACUGGAACUGAGACACGGUCCAGACUCCUACGGGAGGCAGCAGUGGGGAAUAUUGCACAAUGGGCGCAAGCCUGAUGCAGCCAUGCCGCGUGUGUGAAGAAGGCCUUCGGGUUGUAAAGCACUUUCAGCGAGGAGGAAGGUGGUGAACUUAAUACGUUCAUC
RNAcentral lists this ribosomal RNA (384 nucleotides) under Serratia marcescens. Its description in RNAcentral is "bacterial SSU rRNA". It matches the Rfam family "Bacterial small subunit ribosomal RNA", at positions 86 to 473 of the family's 1533-position model. Lineage: Bacteria; Pseudomonadati; Pseudomonadota; Gammaproteobacteria; Enterobacterales; Yersiniaceae. The record is from RNAcentral.